Molecule: long non-coding RNA, 746 nt
Organism: Oreochromis aureus
Lineage: Eukaryota; Metazoa; Chordata; Actinopteri; Cichliformes; Cichlidae
Source: Ensembl
GAACUGUUUCAGUCAAGAGGAUAUGCACAACUUAUUACUGCUGCAACUACCGAAAAACACACAUUGAUUGAUCACCUUUACAUAUCACAGCCAUACGCCUGCCUCCAAUCAGGUGUUCUGAAUACAUAUCACAGUUAUCACAACCCCAUUUAUUGUGUAAUUCACUAACACAAAAUGACUGCAAGGUUGUGAGGGAUAUGGACUUGCCAAGUGAUCUUAGUGUCUUUGCAACUGAGCACACUCUACCACCAACAAGGACAGCUCACCAGUGGGAGCUGAUAGAUAAGACUGCUCUCAUCCAUUGAAGAGCUGACCAGAAACGUGAACAGAGAGACUGCAACUGCACCUGAUGGGAUCCCUGCCAUAACAGAUGUGUUCUGUCCAGUGAAGGCAGUGGAGAAGCCCUACACUGAUCUUGAAACUGUGCCACGCUAGUAGAGACCGGCUACAAGGAUGGGCAGCUGUUUUCGCAAAGUCAGCCAACCACUUGCUUCCAAAUGACCCUUAUCCAGAAGUAUCCGUGAGUGCCUCAUCAACAGAAACUAAAGUGGAGACCUACCUCUCAGAGAAAAACGCACACAUAAGAAAAGCUGACCCACUUCAGUACUGGGAAGAACAUCCUAAUCUGUUUCUCUCUAUGGCUGCUGUUGCGAUCCCAGUGUGCCCCUGUAGCUCUGUGGACAGUUUUGGAUUUGUUUACAUCUCACCCAACCGCUCACGGCAGAUGGCUGCACCUCUCUAAGCCU